RNAcentral lists this ribosomal RNA (467 nucleotides) under uncultured bacterium. RNAcentral describes it as "partial 16S ribosomal RNA". It matches the Rfam family "Bacterial small subunit ribosomal RNA", at positions 28 to 506 of the family's 1533-position model. The record is from RNAcentral.
GACGAACGCUGGCGGCGUGCUUAACACAUGCAAGUCGAACGGAAAGGCCCUGCUUUUGUGGGGUGCUCGAGUGGCGAACGGGUGAGUAACACGUGAGUAACCUGCCCUUGACUUAGGGAUAACUUCAGGAAACUGGGGCUAAUACCGGAUAGGAGCUCCUGCUGCAUGGUGGGGGUUGGAAAGUUUCGGCGGUUGGGGAUGGACUCGCGGCUUAUCAGCUUGUUGGUGGGGUAGUGGCUUACCAAGGCUUUGACGGGUAGCCGGCCUGAGAGGGUGACCGGCCACAUUGGGACUGAGAUACGGCCCAGACGCCUACGGGAGGCAGCAGUGGGGAAUAUUGCACAAUGGGCGGAAGCAUGAUGCAGCAACGCCGCGUGCGGGAUGACGGCCUUCGGGUUGUAACCCGCUUUCGCCUGUGACGACGCGUGAGUGACGGUAAUGGGUAAAGAAGCACCGGCUAACUACGU